RNAcentral lists this ribosomal RNA (440 nucleotides) under uncultured bacterium. RNAcentral describes it as "partial 16S ribosomal RNA". It matches the Rfam family "Bacterial small subunit ribosomal RNA", at positions 338 to 795 of the family's 1533-position model. The record is from RNAcentral.
CCUACGGGCGGCAGCAGUGGGGAAUAUUGCACAAUGGGGGAAACCCUGAUGCAGCGACGCCGCGUGAGUGAAGAAGGAAUUCGUUAUGUAAAGCUCUAUCAGCAGGGAAGAAAAUGACGGUACCUGAGUAAGAAGCCCCGGCUAACUACGUGACAGCAGCCGCGGUAAUACGUAGGGGGCAAGCGUUAAGCGGAUUUACUGGGUGUAAAGGGAGCGUAGACGGCAGUGCAAGACUGGAGUGAAAGGCGGGGGCGCAACCCCCGGACUGCUCUGGAAACUGUACGGCUGGAGUGCAGGAGAGGUAAGUGGAAUUCCUAGUGUAGCGGUGAAAUGCGUAGAUAUUAGGAGGAACACCAAUGGCGAAGGCGGCUUACUGGACUGUAACUGACGUUGAGGCUCGAAAGCGUGGGGAGCAAACAGGAUUAGAUACCCCAGUAGUC